RNAcentral lists this ribosomal RNA (772 nucleotides) under uncultured Neocallimastigales. RNAcentral describes it as "partial large subunit ribosomal RNA". It matches the Rfam family "Eukaryotic large subunit ribosomal RNA", at positions 24 to 614 of the family's 3401-position model. The record is from RNAcentral. Lineage: Eukaryota; Fungi; Neocallimastigomycota; Neocallimastigomycetes; Neocallimastigales.
UAUCUCUGUAGAGUCUGCAUAUCAAUAAGCGGAGGAAAAGAAACUAACUAGGAUUCCCUCAGUAACGGCGAGUGAAGCGGGAAGAGCUCAAAUUUGAAAUCUUCAAGGUUUUACCUUGACGAAUUGUAGUUUAAAGAAGUGUUUUCUGUUGGAGUUUUGGUAAAAGUUCUUUGGAAUAGGACAUCAUAGAGGGUGAGAAUCCCGUAUUUGACCAUUAUUUCCAGCUUUGUGAUACACUUUCAAAGAGUCGGAUUGUUUGGGAAUGCAGUCCAAAAUGGGUGGUAAAUUUCAUCUAAAGCUAAAUACUGGCGAGAGACCGAUAGCGAACAAGUACCGUGAGGGAAAGAUGAAAAGAACUUUGAAAAGAGAGUUAAACAGUACGUGAAAUUGUCAAAAGGGAAGCGUUUGACACCAGUGUUGUUUUCUCGAAAAUCAAUUAAAAAUGGCGGGAUUUUGUGUUGUAUUGACUUUAUCAGCUUUCUGCACUCUUUUCCUGUCUUUUUUAAUGCACUUUUCGUUUAACAAGUCAACAUCAACUUCUUUUGUUGUAAAAGGUCAUUGGAAGGUGGCUUUCUUUUCGGAGAAAGUGUUUAUAGCCUUUGGCUUCUGCAAUCGGAGAGAUUGAGGUCUGCAGCGUAGAUCCUUCGGGUUAGAUACAUUUGUGCUAAGUUAUAGCCUUUCAUAGACAACUUGUUGACUAUGAUCAGUCAUGUAGCUUACUCGCUUAUGCUAUUUUACCUACGCUUAGGAUGUUGAGUCAUCACACAUCUCU